Molecule: ribosomal RNA, 253 nt
Filed under: uncultured bacterium
Lineage: Bacteria
Description: partial 16S ribosomal RNA
Rfam family: Bacterial small subunit ribosomal RNA
Source: RNAcentral
UACGAAGGGGGCUAGCGUUGUUCGGAAUUACUGGGCGUAAAGCGCACGUAGGCGGGUUUGUAAGUAAGGGGUGAAAACCCCGGGCUCAACUCGGGAACUGCCUUUUAUACUGCAAGCCUGGAGGUCAGGAGAGGCGAGUGGAAUUCCGGGUGUAGCGGUGAAAUGCGUAGAUAUUCGGAGGAACACCAGUUGCGAAGGCGUCUCGCUGGACUGUUACUGACGCUGAGGUGCGAAAGCGUGGGGAGCAAACAGG